Molecule: small nuclear RNA, 106 nt
Filed under: Phascolarctos cinereus (koala)
Lineage: Eukaryota; Metazoa; Chordata; Mammalia; Diprotodontia; Phascolarctidae
Source: RNAcentral
UUGCUAACUUCUGCAGUGCACACACCAAAACUGGAAUGACAAAGAAGAUUCACAUGGCCCCUUGCACGAGGAUGACAUGCAAAUUUAUAAAAUGUCCCAUAUUUCA